This 1504-nucleotide ribosomal RNA is filed under the name Klebsiella pneumoniae. Its description in RNAcentral is "bacterial SSU rRNA". It matches the Rfam family "Bacterial small subunit ribosomal RNA". Lineage: Bacteria; Pseudomonadati; Pseudomonadota; Gammaproteobacteria; Enterobacterales; Enterobacteriaceae. The record is from RNAcentral.
AGAGUUUGAUCCUGGCUCAGAUUGAACGCUGGGGGCAGGCCUAACACAUGCAAGUCGAGCGGUAGCACAGAGAGCUUGCUCUCGGGUGACGAGCGGCGGACGGGUGAGUAAUGUCUGGGAAACUGCCUGAUGGAGGGGGAUAACUACUGGAAACGGUAGCUAAUACCGCAUAACGUCGCAAGACCAAAGUGGGGGACCUUCGGGCCUCAUGCCAUCAGAUGUGCCCAGAUGGGAUUAGCUGGUAGGUGGGGUAACGGCUCACCUAGGCGACGAUCCCUAGCUGGUCUGAGAGGAUGACCAGCCACACUGGAACUGAGACACGGUCCAGACUCCUACGGGAGGCAGCAGUGGGGAAUAUUGCACAAUGGGCGCAAGCCUGAUGCAGCCAUGCCGCGUGUGUGAAGAAGGCCUUCGGGUUGUAAAGCACUUUCAGCGGGGAGGAAGGCGGUGAGGUUAAUAACCUCAUCGAUUGACGUUACCCGCAGAAGUUGCACCGGCUAACUCCGUGCCAGCAGCCGCGGUAAUACGGAGGGUGCAAGCGUUAAUCGGAAUUACUGGGCGUAAAGCGCACGCAGGCGGUCUGUCAAGUCGGAUGUGAAAUCCCCGGGCUCAACCUGGGAACUGCAUUCGAAACUGGCAGGCUAGAGUCUUGUAGAGGGGGGUAGAAUUCCAGGUGUAGCGGUGAAAUGCGUAGAGAUCUGGAGGAAUACCGGUGGCGAAGGCGGCCCCCUGGACAAAGACUGACGCUCAGGUGCGAAAGCGUGGGGAGCAAACAGGAUUAGAUACCCUGGUAGUCCACGCUGUAAACGAUGUCGAUUUGGAGGUUGUGCCCUUGAGGCGUGGCUUCCGGAGCUAACGCGUUAAAUCGACCGCCUGGGGAGUACGGCCGCAAGGUUAAAACUCAAAUGAAUUGACGGGGGCCCGCACAAGCGGUGGAGCAUGUGGUUUAAUUCGAUGCAACGCGAAGAACCUUACCUGGUCUUGACAUCCACAGAACUUAGCAGAGAUGCUUUGGUGCCUUCGGGAACUGUGAGACAGGUGCUGCAUGGCUGUCGUCAGCUCGUGUUGUGAAAUGUUGGGUUAAGUCCCGCAACGAGCGCAACCCUUAUCCUUUGUUGCCAGCGGUUCGGCCGGGAACUCAAAGGAGACUGCCAGUGAUAAACUGGAGGAAGGUGGGGAUGACGUCAAGUCAUCAUGGCCCUUACGACCAGGGCUACACACGUGCUACAAUGGCAUAUACAAAGAGAAGCGACCUCGCGAGAGCAAGCGGACCUCAUAAAGUAUGUCGUAGUCCGGAUUGGAGUCUGCAACUCGACUCCAUGAAGUCGGAAUCGCUAGUAAUCGUAGAUCAGAAUGCUACGGUGAUUACGUUCCCGGGCCUUGUACACACCGCCCGUCACACCAUGGGAGUGGGUUGCAAAAGAAGUAGGUAGCUUAACCUUCGGGAGGGCGCUUACCACUUUGUGAUUCAUGACUGGGGUGAAGUCGUAACAAGGUAGCCGUA